UACGUAGGGUGCAAGCGUUGUCCGGAAUUAUUGGGCGUAAAGAGCUCGUAGGCGGUUUGUCGCGUCUGCUGUGAAAACUCGGGGCUUAACUCCGGGCCUGCAGUGGGUACGGGCAGACUAGAGUGCGGUAGGGGAGAUUGGAGUUCCUGGUGUAGCGGUGGAAUGCGCAGAUAUCAGGAGGAACACCAAUGGCGAAGGCAGAUCUCUGGGCCGUAACUGACGCUGAGGAGCGAAAGCAUGGGGAGCGAACAGG
RNAcentral lists this ribosomal RNA (253 nucleotides) under uncultured bacterium. RNAcentral describes it as "partial 16S ribosomal RNA". It matches the Rfam family "Bacterial small subunit ribosomal RNA", at positions 524 to 776 of the family's 1533-position model. The record is from RNAcentral.